ACCAACCGCAGGGUGUGUGUGUAUCAGUGUGUUGAAUAAUGCAGGUGUGGAGAGAUCCUAGCAGCCGUCCACCCCCACUUCAUCCACUUCUGCCUUCACAGGACUAGGGGUGGUAUUAGCAUGUAAUAUCUAGCUGUUUUCUUGCAGGAAGAGGGGAUGAAAUAUUAGCGUUGUCCAUUAGGCAACAUUUGAAACAACCUUGAAGAAUUUCCACAAAGUUGUCACCGGUGAAUUAUGACCUUCAACUUCCAUUUGUAAUAUGAUGCAGGAAUGUAAUACAGUUCUCUGUCCUCUCCAGCUGGAAGUCCAACCUCUCCCUGCUGUUCUAACACGGGGGGGGAAGGGGGGCGGCUGUGGUCUGAGGGACAAUUCAGAGAAAGGGAGGGGAUGAGGGGAGGAAAGGAGGGAGUGAGCAGAGGAGGAGGGAGAGGGGGAUUAAUUGGUAGUUUGUCGUGGGUCUCUAAUAGACCCUCAUGCCUCACAUUCCUGUGAUUCCAGGACUGGAGAGGAUAGAGGGAGUGGAGAGAGGAGGAUAGAGAGAGUGGAGAGAGGAGGAUAGCGGGAGUGGAGAGAGGAGGAUAGAGGGAGUGGAGAGAGGAGGAUAGAGGGAGUGGAGAGAGGAGGAUAGAGGGAGUGGAGAGAGGAGGAUAGCGGGAGUGGAGAGAGGAGGAUAGCGGGAGUGGAGAGAGGAGGAUAGAGGGAGUGGAGAGAGGAGGAUAGCGGGAGUGGAGAGAGGAGGAUAGCGGGAGUGGAGAGAGGAGGAUAGAGGGAGUGGAGAGAGGAGGAUAGAGGGAGUGGAGAGAGGAGGAUAGAGGGAGUGGAGAGAGGAGGAUAGAGGGAGUGGAGAGAGGAGGAUAGAGGGAGUGGAGAGAGGAGGAUAGAGGGAGUGGAGAGAGGAGGAUAGAGGGAGUGGGAGAGGAGGGAGCUCAAACCUCCAUAGCAUCACUAGUUAAAACCGGAGACCUUUCUGCAUGGCAUUGAAAUCCACAGAUCUCAGUUGGUUGGAGCGCGGUGGGUGUUUGCAAUGCAAAGGUUGCAAGUUGGAUUUCAACAUGGGCCAUCAAUAUUGAUUGUAAGCAAUACAUGGGAGAAACUUGUGGUUUGGAGGCAGGAGAGUAGGGAGGCAGGAGGGGAGGUAGGCAGGAGAGUAGGUAGGCAGGAGAGUAGGGAGGCAGGAGAGUAGGGAGGCAGGAGAGUAGGGAGGCAGGAGGGGAUGUAGGCAGGAGGGGAGGUAGGCAGGAGGGGAGGUAGGCAGGAGAGUAGGGAGGCAGGAGAGUAGGGAGGCAGGAGAGUAGGGAGGCAGGAGAGUAGGGAGGCAGGAGAGUAGGGAGGCAGGAGAGUAGGGAGGCAGGAGAGUAGGGAGGCAGGAGAGUAGGGAGGCAGGAGGGGAGGUAGGCAGGAGAGUAGGGAGGCAGGAGAGUAGGGAGGCAGGAGAGUAGUGAGGCAGGAGAGGAGGUAGGCAGGAGAGUAGGGAGGCAGGAGAGUAGGGGGGCAGGAGGGAGUGAGGUCGACAGGAGAGUAGGGAGGCAGGAGAGUAGGGGGGCAGGAGGGAGUGAGGUAGACAGGAGAGUAGGGAGGCAGGAGAGUAGGGGGGCAGGAGGGAGUGAGGUAGACAGGAGAGUAGGGAGGCAGGAGAGUAGGGGGCAGGAGGG
Oncorhynchus keta (chum salmon) is the source of this 1652-nucleotide long non-coding RNA. RefSeq lists it as uncharacterized. NCBI's taxonomy places the organism in Eukaryota, Metazoa, Chordata, Actinopteri, Salmoniformes, Salmonidae. The record is from RefSeq and is a predicted model, not a curated record. The transcript has 3 exons.